Non-coding RNA from Macaca mulatta (Rhesus monkey), 574 nucleotides. Lineage: Eukaryota; Metazoa; Chordata; Mammalia; Primates; Cercopithecidae. The record is from RefSeq and is a predicted model, not a curated record.
GGACUACCACCGGCUGGCAGCCCUGCACCACCGGUUGGGCCAUGGCAAGCUGGCGGAGCACUUCUACCUCAAGGCCCUGUAGCUCUGCAACUUGCCCCUGGAGUUUGACGAGGAGACCCUCUACUACGUGAAGGUGUACCUGGUGCUCGGUGACAUCAUCUUCUACGACCUGAAGGACCCCUUUUGAUGCAGCCGGGUACUAUCAGCUGGCACUGGCAGCUGCCGUGGACCUGGGCAACAAGAAGGCACGGCUGAAGAUCUACACGCGGCCGGCCACCAUCUCCCACAACUUCCUCCUGGACCGCGAGAAGUCGAUCCUCUUCUACCAGAAGGCCAGGACCUUCGCCACAGAACUCAACGUCCGCAGGGUCAACCUACCUCCUCUGCCACUCUGCGGGUGGGCCCCUGGUUGACCCUCAGCCACCCUCGCUGAGGACAGCAUCCGAGGGAAUGGGUUUUGUGCAAGGAGGAUGGUCUCCUGCCUCUCCUGGUGUCUCCGUGGCUCAUUUUCUGGGAAAUGGAGGCAUGAAAACAGGGUUCAAAUAGCAAUAAAUGGUUUUUUUGCAAUAACAUA